UUGAACGCUGGCGGAAUGCUUUACACAUGCAAGUCGAGCGGCAGCGCGGGGGCAACCCUGGCGGCGAGCGGCGAACGGGUGAGUAAUACAUCGGAACGUACCCAGUUGUGGGGGAUAGCCCGGCGAAAGCCGGAUUAAUACCGCAUAAGUCCUGAGGGAGAAAGCGGGGGACCGUAAGGCCUCGCGCGAUUGGAGCGGCCGAUGUUCGAUUAGCUAGUUGGUGGGGUAAAGGCCUACCAAGGCGACGAUCGAUAGCUGGUCUGAGAGGACGACCAGCCACACUGGAACUGAGACACGGUCCAGACUCCUACGGGAGGCAGCAGUGGGGAAUUUUGGACAAUGGGGGCAACCCUGAUCCAGCCAUUCCGCGUGAGUGAAGAAGGCCUUCGGGUUGUAAAGCUCUUUCAGCCGGAACGAAACGGUACGCUCUAACAUAGCGUGCUAAUGACGGUACCGGCAGAAGAAGCACCGGCUAACUACGU
This 482-nucleotide ribosomal RNA is filed under the name uncultured bacterium. RNAcentral's name for it is "bacterial SSU rRNA". It matches the Rfam family "Bacterial small subunit ribosomal RNA", at positions 29 to 506 of the family's 1533-position model. The record is from RNAcentral.